Molecule: non-coding RNA, 221 nt
Organism: Cinara cedri
Lineage: Eukaryota; Metazoa; Arthropoda; Insecta; Hemiptera; Aphididae
Source: the annotation of a GenBank genome assembly
UUUUUUUUAUUUUUGUUACUCUUACUAUGUCACAAUUUUUAUCAUCAUUUUUUUAUCUGAUCUGAUCGGUUUUUUUAUUAUCUUGGUUAAUUCUUUAAAAAUGUCUUCUAUACUUUCACUACUUUCAUUAAAUGCUGUUUGUACCUUUAAUUUUGGUAUCAGUUCAGGAGAUAAUUUUUUUUACUACAGACUAAAAUAAAAUAAUACUAGUUAAAAAGUUG